This 396-nucleotide ribosomal RNA is filed under the name uncultured bacterium. Its description in RNAcentral is "bacterial SSU rRNA". It matches the Rfam family "Bacterial small subunit ribosomal RNA", at positions 1104 to 1498 of the family's 1533-position model. The record is from RNAcentral.
CUUAUCCUUAGUUGCCAUCAAGGUAAUGCUGGGCACUCUAGGGGAGACUGCCUGUGUUAAGCAGGAGGAAGGUGGGGAUGACGUCAAGUCAUCAUGGCCCUUACGCCCGGGGCUACACACGUGCUACAAUGGCCGGUACAAUGGGUUGCAAUGCCGUAAGGUGGAGCCAAUCCCCAAAACCGGUCUCAGUUCGGAUUGGAGUCUGCAACUCGACUCCAUGAAGCCGGAAUCGCUAGUAAUCGCGAAUCAGAAUGUCGCGGUGAAUACGUUCCCGGGCCUUGUACACACCGCCCGUCACACCAUGGGAGUGGGUUGCAAAAGAAGUGGGUAGACUAACCUUCGGGAGGUCGCUCACCACUUUGUGAUUCAUGACUGGGGUGAAGUCGUAACAAGGUA